RNAcentral lists this ribosomal RNA (255 nucleotides) under uncultured bacterium. RNAcentral describes it as "partial 16S ribosomal RNA". It matches the Rfam family "Bacterial small subunit ribosomal RNA", at positions 524 to 776 of the family's 1533-position model. The record is from RNAcentral.
UACAGAGGAUGCAAGCGGUUAUCCGGAAUGAUUGGGCGUAAAGCGUCUGUAGGUGGCUUUUUAAGUCCGCCGUCAAAUCCCAGGGCUCAACUCUGGACAGGCGGUGGAAACUACCAAGCUGGAGUACGGUAGGGGCAGAGGGAAUUUCCGGUGGAGCGGUGAAAUGCGUAGGAGAUCGGAAAGACACCAACGGCGAAAGCACUCUGCUGGGCCGACACUGACACUGGAGAGACGAAAGCUAGGGGAGCGAAUGGG